RNAcentral lists this ribosomal RNA (207 nucleotides) under uncultured bacterium. RNAcentral describes it as "partial 16S ribosomal RNA". It matches the Rfam family "Bacterial small subunit ribosomal RNA", at positions 524 to 726 of the family's 1533-position model. The record is from RNAcentral.
UACGGAGGGUGCGAGCGUGUCCGGAAUCAUUGGGCGUAAAGGGCGCGUAGGUGGCCACUUCAAGCGUGCGGUGAAAGUCGGGGGCUCAACCCCUGAUCGGCCGUGCGAACUGGGGGGGCUGGAGCACUGUAGAGGCAGGCGGAAUUCCGGGUGUGAGCGGUGGAAUGCGUAGGAGAUCCGGGAAGAACACCGGUGGCGAAGGCGGUU